UUUGAAUUUAUUAGAAGGGAACUAGGCAUGUUAAAUUGUCCCUGAAAAUAAGCUUGUUUGAAUAUAUUUUUCAAAAAAUGUCUCAUCCUUUUCCGUUCUUCUAUGAAUUUGACUUCAUCACUCUCCUUCGAUUCAAGAUGAUAUACUGAAGUACAACUCAUUAUCUUAACCUAUCUUGAGUCAAACACCUUAAAAAAAAAAAAAAAAAAAAAAAUAAAAUAAAAUCAACAUAGCACACCAGUGGUGGCACCGCCAGAACCGGCGAUAGCACCGCCUGAGCGCUCGGGCGCCAGGCGGUGGCACCGCUCGGUUUGGCGGUGGCACCGCCCGAGACACCCUAUAAAUCC
This 347-nucleotide long non-coding RNA is filed under the name Musa acuminata (dwarf banana). Its description in RNAcentral is "long non-coding RNA (MACU_LNC003440)". The record is from RNAcentral. Lineage: Eukaryota; Viridiplantae; Streptophyta; Magnoliopsida; Zingiberales; Musaceae.